Molecule: ribosomal RNA, 1335 nt
Filed under: Triticum aestivum (bread wheat)
Lineage: Eukaryota; Viridiplantae; Streptophyta; Magnoliopsida; Poales; Poaceae
Description: partial small subunit ribosomal RNA
Source: RNAcentral
AUGGCUGAGCCAACAGGCCUUGCUGAGGCUUUCGAGAAGCUUGCUAAGAUCUUCGAGGAGUCGAAAUCUGGGGCCAUCGUUCCUCGACAGGAAGUGGCUCAGAAGAUCGAACUGUCGCCCAUGGACAUGAAGUUAGAGGGGGCUACCAAUUAUCUGAGCUGGUCCCGGAGGGCGUUGCUGGCUGUGGAACAGAAGGAGCUUGAUGGGCACUUGUUGGGUGUUGUUGCUGAACCAGGAGACAAGACUACUGUGGAGGGAAAAAGAUGGAAGGUCAUAAACUCUGUGCUCAUUGGCUGGUUGUUGAACUCGGUGGUGCCCCCCAUUGGACGCUCUGUGGAGGGGCUAUCCACAUCCGCUGCGAUAUGGACGACUCUGUCCACCUUGUACUCAGAGCUGCAGGCUUUGUGGGCAGAGCAGGAUAACUGCGACCCUCUGGAACUCUACGAUGCAGCUUGCAUCGAGUCAGGGCGCAAGUGGAUUGCACGCAGGCGUGUGCUGAAACUGUUGGAGGGGCUUAGAGGUUGUUUUCAUGGCAGGAGGGCAUCCCUGUUGCACCAACCUCUCCUGCCCUCUAUUGAGGAGACUAUUGCUGCUAUGUCUCAAGAGGAGGUGCGGCUAUCUCUUGAGCAUGCAGACAUGAAGGCUGUGCCGUCUCCGACAUUUGGAGUCACUGAGCGCAUGGAGUGGAGCGAUCCCAACAAAUGUCAUAUCUGUGGGGAGGCAGGUCACUGGAAGUGGGCGUGUCCAACUCGUGGCAGAGGCAGGGAAUACAACGGAGGGGAAACUGGCAGAGGCAGGAGUGCUAGAGGCAGAGGUGGAUACUCAGGGACCUCAAGGGGUCAGGCUUCUAGGGGCAGAGGUGGCUACUCAGGACACUCAGGGGAUCAGAGGGCUCACAUGACAGUGGCAGGAGACACUGGGACGUCAAAAGGCAAAGAUGCAGAUGAUGCUGACUAUGGAGACUUUGCUCUCUGGGCCUCCACUGAUGAAGGUAAUCCAGAACAGGCAUCUCUUGCUUCUAAUGGGAGUGCUCCAGAGUGGGUUCUCGACUCUGGAGCAUCUAAGCAUGUUGCGAGUAAAUCUUGCGUGUUUGAGUCUUACACUAAGCACCCUCCGUCUCACACGGGCACUAUGCAAACUGCUGAUGGCACAAACCAGCCUGUCAUAGGGGUUGGCACAGUCAAGUGCACUCCGACCAUCUCCCUAUCCUCAGUUUUACAUGUGCCGGCUUUUCCUGUCAAUUUGGUCUCCUUCAGUGCCCUAAUUGAUCAAAUUGACUGUCGUGUGAUCCUUGACAAAUUUGGUUGCGUGAUUCAGGAGCGACAGACGAGCUAG